ACCCAUGUUCAAAACUAGCUCAGUCCAACUGCAUGUGAGAGCAACCUGGAAAGACUUUGACAGCCCAGGUCAGCAGAGUACCUGCAGCUGCCGCUCGACUUUCCUAUAAUG
Molecule: small nucleolar RNA, 111 nt
Filed under: Dasypus novemcinctus (nine-banded armadillo)
Lineage: Eukaryota; Metazoa; Chordata; Mammalia; Cingulata; Dasypodidae
Description: Small nucleolar RNA SNORA44 (ENSDNOG00000030039.1)
Rfam family: Small nucleolar RNA SNORA44
About the family: ACA44 is a member of the H/ACA class of snoRNA that guide the sites of modification of uridines to pseudouridines.
Source: RNAcentral